AACUUAAAGGAAUUGACGGGGCCGCACAAGCAGCGGAGCGUGUGGUUUAAUUCGAUGAUACGCGAAGAACCUCACCCAGGUUUGACAUGCAUGUGGUACCAAGGUGAAAGCUGAGGGACCCUUCGGGGAGCAUGCACAGGUGUUGCACGGCCGUCGUCAGCUCGUGCCGUGAGGUGUUGGGUUAAGUCCCGCAACGAGCGCAACCCCUGUCGCCAGUUGUAUUUUUCUGGCGAGACUGCCGAGAAAACCUCGGAGGAAGGAGGGGACGAUGUCAGGUCAGCGUGGCCCUUACGCCUGGGGCUACACACACGCUACAAUGGGCAGUACAACGGGUCGCGAAGCCGCGAGGUGGAGCUAAUCCCAUCAAAGCUGUCCUCAGUUCGGAUUGCAGGCUGAAACCCGCCUGCAUGAAGCCGGAGUUGCUAGUAACCGCAGGUCAGCAUUACUGCGGUGAAUACGUUCCCGGGCCUU
RNAcentral lists this ribosomal RNA (471 nucleotides) under uncultured Chloroflexota bacterium. RNAcentral describes it as "bacterial SSU rRNA". It matches the Rfam family "Bacterial small subunit ribosomal RNA", at positions 898 to 1382 of the family's 1533-position model. The record is from RNAcentral. Lineage: Bacteria; Bacillati; Chloroflexota.